RNA transcript from Anopheles aquasalis, 2422 nucleotides. RefSeq lists it as uncharacterized. The record is from RefSeq and is a predicted model, not a curated record. NCBI's taxonomy places the organism in Eukaryota, Metazoa, Arthropoda, Insecta, Diptera, Culicidae.
UUUGGUGUACUUUACACAAAACUACAUGGAUUUGAGUGUAGGGCCGAGAAUUAGAAUUCAAGGCAUUCACGAUGUGUUUUAAGAAUCAAUGUUCUUUUUACCGAUAGCGCUACAAGUGGGGCACACACAGCUGGCCAAAUUUCUCCUGCUAAACCAAAAACGAACUUCCUAUUCGAUGUUUAGGUGAUGAUCGCUGUGCUAGAUUAGAGUGUAAACAAACCAACCGACCCACCGCCGCAGCCGGAGAAUGUUUCUUCUCGAAUGUUUGUUUCGCUUAAAGUACUUUGGUUCCUUUCUCGUUUCCCAAGAUAACAGCUUACGAAGUGCGUUGAAUAGUAUUUUUUGGCUAAGCUGCUUGUUUGGUGUAGUGUUUCUAUACUUCACGCGGCUCUUGAAGGGUUUAUUACGGUUGGGCCGACUGCAGGGCCGGAACUUUUCCCAGAUAACGCAGUAUCUAUGGAACAUAUGCUUCAACGCAACAGCAAUGCUGUUCCUGACGCUGUAUCGCAUAUUACUGAUCCGGCCUGAAGACGCCAGUAACAAAUACUUUCCCCAGUACAACAAUGUUAUCUUUGCCAGCACCUGUGACGCUGGUAAAUUUGAGGUCAUUACAUUAGUCCUGGUCUCUUUCGAGGUGGUCUCUGUGGUGCUCCAUCUAUCCAAGUGCGACUACUCGGAGGCAUUCUCAAAUGCGCUUUAUGGUACGCUGCUAAUGAGUUGCCUUUCGCUUCGCCUAGAGGCCUACAGCAUGCUGCUUAGCUUUUACGUGGCCAUGUACCGCGCCUGCCGGGAAUCGUUGCUGCUGUGUUCUAGUCAGAUGGACGCGGCAGCCCAUACACACCUUACGCUUGUAGUCACGGUAAAGAUAUGCACCUGGUGUUAUCUUUUCCUGAACCUUCUUCCGUUCGAAUUCCUCAUACCGACGCUGAACGCCCGUAAGGAUCAUUUUCCGUUGAAAGUAUGGUUUUGGUUCUGGUACUGCUCUUGUAUUUGGAACUCACCGCUACUGAAGCUCCUGUACCACAAAAUUUACCAUACGUACCCGUACGACUGUGCUGGUGGUGCUUCAGCCGUGCGCUGCAUAUUGUCAGACGAUUGGCAACGCUUUCGGCACUUUCGUAACUUGCAGCAUGCGUUUUACGAACUGAAGCUUCACCUUUCCAAGGAAAACAUGCACCCGACCCAUACCAACGAUAGCGCAAGCGCGCAAGCUACCGCAUUUCAGACUAUAAAAUGUGUGGUGGCGCUAAAGCGGAAACUGAAGCGACUACGGGAAAACCGAGAGCUGCAGCGCCUAAAGAAUGAGUAAUAUCUUUAGCUCGUCUUAGCUUGACGACGACGACGAGUUUAUUUUUUAAUUGCUGAGCAGACUGACACGAUCUCUCUUGCGUUAAGAUGCACCUUUCCGCGAGAUUACGGUACCAAUGGCUAAUAAGCCAACCUCCCGUUGUGGAAUGGUGGAGGUGAGAGUAUGUAAGGGUUUUGGUGCUUGUGAUUUCGUGGGCGAGUUUUCGCGUUUUAAAUCGAUCCUCAUACUGAAUUUAUGAUGCUGCUUCGAAACGGGACGAAUUAGAAAGGAUUUUACAAGUGUAAUGCAAAUUAAUUGGGAUAAAUUUGUUUAAUUUAAUAUCUUUUCCUAUUCUUCGACACAAGGAACUUCUCCAUUGGUUAGUUAUUAAAAGUGUACUAUCCGUUCAGCUCAUAAUGAGAAUAAUUACGCUCCAACGGGCUUUAUAAUUACGCACCAACGCUAUUCGUGAAUUGUGUUGGUCGCAUUUUCGCGUGUACUCUUCUAACAUUAUACCCAUUAGUCGCGUGUUCCUGUUCCUUAAUAAUUACAAUGCCUUUGAACUCUUGAAAACUGACCUCAAGCUCUGUAAGAAAAAAACAGACGGGCAGAUGCAUUGCAUUUACGAUUGCCUUAAUAUAAUAGAAAGUAGAGGGAAGAAAGCAGACGUGGGAAAGUGAAAAAUGUAACGAAAAUGAAGACGGAAAAACCUUGGAUUAUGCUAUGCUUCAAUAGCCAACUCCUGUUCACCAGUGCGGUGCAAGUUCAGCACAACGAGACAAUAAUGCAGAUGAGGAGAGAUGCUUGUGUUUGAUGGAAGAGAGAUGUAUGAGAAAAAUUUGCAUAUUACUUCCGACACUUCCUGACAUGGAUCUGGCUUAGCAGGAUGAAAGACGGGUUAAGAGUAAUGGUGCCAUUUGGUACAUUUGUUUGCUUGUUUUUGCUUGUUAAAGUAACUUAUUGCUUUCUUGCUAAAAUGAAUCAUCUGUAAUGAUAAUACUAUGUAUCCUUUAACAUGCCCGUUCACUGACUUGUCUCCCAACCAUCAACCCUACCGCUUUUAAGGCCUACGGCCCAGAGAUCGGUUCAGGGCCUCUCGAGCGCGUACGCAUCUUUCGCAUACACAUCAACAGC